RNAcentral lists this ribosomal RNA (253 nucleotides) under uncultured bacterium. Its description in RNAcentral is "partial 16S ribosomal RNA". It matches the Rfam family "Bacterial small subunit ribosomal RNA", at positions 524 to 776 of the family's 1533-position model. The record is from RNAcentral.
UACAGAGGUCCCAAGCGUUGUUCGGAUUCACUGGGCGUAAGGGGUGCGUAGGCGGUCGGGUAAGUCUGAUGUGAAAUCUCACAGCUUAACUGUGAAACUGCAUUGGAUACUAUUCGGCUAGAGAGUUGGAGGGGGGACUGGAAUUCUUGGUGUAGCAGUGAAAUGCGUAGAUAUCAAGAGGAACACCAGUGGCGAAGGCGAGUCCCUGGACAACUUCUGACGCUGAGGCACGAAAGCUAGGGGAGCAAACAGG